AGCAACAGAAAACCAAGUGAUGAACCCACAAUGAAAGGUCACAUAAUAUUUGGAAAGGGAGCUUCACUUUAUAUGGUAUUUAACAAAGGAUGAAAAUAUAAGAAAAGGCUGCAUUACCCGAUAGAGAGUGUUUGUUCUACCAAAGAUCAGUUCUCAGAACACAUUUUCCACUACAUCAUUUGUCAGAAAUCCAUCUAUUAGCAGAGCAAAGAAGAAUGGCUGUGAUCACCAGGACUUGGAAGCUAAGGCCCAGAGAGGAGGAGAAACUUGAUCAAAGUCAAUCAGACAAUGCAGAAUCGAGAAAAGUACCUGGACCUCUAUGCCCAUGCUUCUAGCAGCCAGCCUCCUAAAAUACCUCUAGUUGAAGCCAAAGUUAGAAUCCUUCUACGAAACUACAGGAUUAAAAUGGAAUGGUUACAUGACCCAGGCUUGACCAAUCAGAUCAUCCAAACCCUUUGCCACAGUGAUUGGUCCAGGGAUACAUGCAUGAGCCAGCUCAGGCCUAAGCCACACUCAUCUUGUGGAUGACACUGGAGCUGUGACAGUCUGUUCUGUCCAGGCAGGGUGUCUUUUAUUUUUAUUGGAAAUAAGAUUAUCACAGUACGCAAGGCCCAAACAAUUGGUGAUAAUGAAGAAACUCUACUACCAGACGUUGCGGGAUGCCUCAAUGACCUAAUCCAGUAAAUCACAGCUCCAGCUGUCCAUGAGCUCUGUCUACCAUCUGAGGAAUUGUUUCUUUUUAAUACAAAGACUGGCACUCAUCAGAUAAUAAUUUCUGGGAUAGAAGCAAAGUAUUGGUAUUUCUUUAAGUCUCUUGAAGGUGAUUCUACUGAGCUGGGAUUAAGAACACACUGCCUUAAUCCUUUCAUCAUCAACAAAA
Molecule: long non-coding RNA, 880 nt
Filed under: Homo sapiens (human)
Lineage: Eukaryota; Metazoa; Chordata; Mammalia; Primates; Hominidae
Description: PREDICTED lncRNA (TCONS_00265586)
Source: RNAcentral